This is a long non-coding RNA of Perognathus longimembris pacificus (Pacific pocket mouse), 618 nucleotides long. RefSeq lists it as uncharacterized. The record is from RefSeq and is a predicted model, not a curated record. NCBI's taxonomy places the organism in Eukaryota, Metazoa, Chordata, Mammalia, Rodentia, Heteromyidae. The transcript has 2 exons.
CUCCCCUCCAAAAAAUAGAUUGGAUAGACGUAAUGAUAACUGUCAAGGGAAUCCCCUUAAGUUCCUGUUUACCCAAGUGGUUACUCAUUUUAUAUGAGAAAGAAAAGCAAACCCCAGACCCUCACUAUUACUAAUUUCACAUGAACCUUUUACUUGCUUGCUUAUUUGUUUUUGCCACCUACUUAUCUUUAGCCCAGACUGACCUUGAACAGGAGAUCUUCCUUACUCAGGUUCCAAAUACUGGGGAUAACAGGUGAACUGCCAUGCUUUGCUUUACAGGCUUUUUAAAAUUAAGUAUUCAAAGUGCACUAUUAAGUGUGUUUUUCAUAUGAACAAAACUAAACAGCAAUUAUUUUAAAAUCAAUUUUACCCAUUUUUCAAGAAUAAUGAUUACAGACAAAAGAAUAUGACACGUGUGAAGUUAAAGGACAUUUUAUUUACUGACAGGAUUAAAAACUGUAACUCCAGGCAGUGCAGAUGCACUGACCCCAUAACAAGGAACUGGUGUUGAUACACAAUGCUUAAGCAAUGCUACACUUAUUUUUGGCAAAGUGCUGUAUUGUUCACUCUGUAUAAAACUAUCUAAACCAAUCAGUAUAAAAUUUUUUUCUAAAAACA